CCUACGGGUGGCAGCAGUGAGGAAUAUUGGUCAAUGGGCGCGAGCCUGAACCAGCCAAGUAGCGUGAAGGAUGACUGCCCUACGGGUUGUAAACUUCUUUUAUAAAGGAAUAAAGUGAGGCUCGUGUGCCUUUUUGUAUGGACUUUAUGAAUACGGAUCGGCUAACUCCGUUCCAGCAGCGCCGGUAAUACGGUGGAUCCGAGCGUUAUCCGGAUUUAUUGGGUUUAAAGGGAGCGUAGAUGGGUUGUUAAGUCAGUUGUGAAAGUUUGCGGCUCAACCGUAAAAUUGCAAUUGAUACUGGCAGCCUUGAGUACAGAUGAGGUAGGUGGAAUUCGUGGUGUAGCGGUGAAAUGCUUAGAUAUAACGAAGAACUCCGAUUGCGAAGGCAGCCUACUAAACUGCCACUGACAUUGAUGCUCGAAAGUGUGGGUAUCAAACAGGAUUAGAUACCCUGGUAGUC
This 460-nucleotide ribosomal RNA is filed under the name uncultured bacterium. RNAcentral describes it as "partial 16S ribosomal RNA". It matches the Rfam family "Bacterial small subunit ribosomal RNA", at positions 338 to 795 of the family's 1533-position model. The record is from RNAcentral.